GAACCGGGAAGAGCCCAGC
This 19-nucleotide small nuclear RNA is filed under the name Arabidopsis thaliana (thale cress). Its description in RNAcentral is "snRNA_02290". The record is from RNAcentral. Lineage: Eukaryota; Viridiplantae; Streptophyta; Magnoliopsida; Brassicales; Brassicaceae.